RNAcentral lists this long non-coding RNA (1731 nucleotides) under Gallus gallus (chicken). Its description in RNAcentral is "lncRNA (ENSGALG00010007159.1)". The record is from RNAcentral. Lineage: Eukaryota; Metazoa; Chordata; Aves; Galliformes; Phasianidae.
GUUCCAACCAGCACCAAUAUCAACAGCAUAAUAACAGUUCUGUCAGUACAGUUUAAAACUGUGCUAGGUCCUCACAGCUAUGCUUCUCCACAUUUAUUUUUGUUGUUGUUGUUGUUGUUUGUUUUGUUUUGUUUUGUUUUUGUUUAUAGCAACAGCAUUAUUUCUUUCAAUUCACCAAAGACAACAGUGGAUUUUGUUCCUGCACAGCACAGUCCCAGGUGGGCAGCCAUGUAAGUCUGGGACUCCAAACAGCUUCUGAAACUUCAAGCAUAUAUGAGAGUCAGAAAUAAAUACUUUGAUCAUUGAUCUUAGCGUUUUUCCAACAAGAAUUAAAACUUCUAAAGAAAUACAUAUGUCAAAGACUUGAAUGCAGGUUAGCCUCUGAAACUGUAUCUUCGUCUAGGAACAGAAAUCUCUAAGAGGGUACCCAUUCUUAUUUACUAUUCAUAGAUAGCUGUAUUUAUAGCUAUUUGUUAUUAUGCAGUUUCAGUUCUCACUGUUAAGCUGAUUGUCCAGAAUCUUCCCUGACUUCUUUUCACAAUCAAGAAAUUCAAACAUUGAGCAUACUCACAGGAUACCUUCGAAGUUUAAGCAUCUCAAAUCCUACUUUUUCAAUUUCAGGCUUCUCUUGUGUUAAAAACAAACAAACUUUUAUGUAGUUUUCAUGCAUUGUCUAUCAGAAACCUUAAAGAGAGAGCUUUAUUUACUUCAAAGUUACACCUCCAUCCACAUUAUCUGUGCUUCAGUCAUUGCUUUCCAUAGCAUAGUAACCACUGAGAGGAACUGAACAAACACAACAGGCAGCACUUAACCAAGUAUCCUUACUUUUCAGUCUUCAGAAUUCCUUGUAUUUUGACAAAAAAAAAAAAAAAAAAAAAGAGAGAGAGAGAGAGAGAGAGAGAGAGAGAUCUGAAAUAAUUCCAGCCCAUUUUCCCAGGUCAGGUAGCUCACUGUCUGGCCACAAAUUGCUCCAAAUCCCAAACACACUGAAUCUUAAUGUUAGCUGCUUUUGCAUGUGUAUUGUUUUUUUUUUUUUUUUUUCUUUAAUUAGUUUUAUACUUGAUCAUAGGUCUUGUCACAAUUUCAAAGAGUAUUUUACUAUGUACUUCGUCAAAUGUAGACUGGAUAGUAGUUUUUGCCUAAAUAAAGUUGCUAACUUCACUGUAUUCACUGUAAUUACUCCCCAGAAAGCUACUUAAUAUUUUUCUCUUUCCGCUGUUGCUGCUGGAUCACAUUAUCUUAUUUUUAUACACUCCUAUGGGAAUCACACUGAUGGAGUCCAGUGCCUCUUGCAACAACAAGAAGUAAAUAUCAUCAGCUCAUCCACCCUACACAACUAGUCUCUGCCCUUCUCUCCCAAGCUGGAAGAAUAGUCUUCUGUCAUCUGAGUAAUAGUAUCUCUACUUCACUGAAAUACUCAGACAAAACAAGAUUUGUAAUAUUUCACCAAGGGAGAAUAUAUUAAGCUACCUAUUAGGAAAAACAAUCUUCAACUUUUUAAAAAUUUAGAUCGAAACAAUAUUAACCUCUCAAAUGGCUAGAAAAACUUACGUAAAAACAGCACAUGCACUACUGGAUCAUACUCUAUUUUGUGCAAGCUCAUCCCUCUACCACUUCAUGAAUGCUGUCAUUCCACAAACUUUCAACAAUAUUAUUAUGCUACAGUAGAAAAAAACAUCAACAGAAAAUAAUGUACACAAACAUGAAUUAGGUAUGUGGAGUAUGUAAACU